CAUGCAGUCGACGAGAACGGCCUUUAGCUUGCUAAAGGUGUCAGCUAAGUGGCGGACGGGUGAGUAAUGUAUAGCUAACGUGCCCCUUGGAGAGGGAUAACGUCUGGAAACGGGCGCUAAUACCUCAUACUCCUUUUCUGUUAAUUCAGAAUUGGGAAAUGGUUUUUCCGCCAAGGGAUCGGGCUAUAUGGUAUCAGGUAGUUGGUGGGGUAAGAGCCCACCAAGCCAAUGACGCCUAGCUGGUCUGAGAGGAUGAUCAGCCACACUGCAACUGAGACACGGUCCAGACUCCUACGGGAGGCAGCAGUGGGGAAUAUUGCACAAUGGAGGAAACUCUGAUGCAGCAACGCCGCGUGGAGGAUGACGCAUUUCGAUGUGUAAACUCCUUUUAUAUAGGAAGAUAAUGACGGUACUAUAUGAAUAAGCACCGGCUAACUCCGUGCCAGCAGCCGCGGUAAUACGGAGGGUGCAAGCGUUACUCGGAAUCACUGGGCGUAAAGCGCGCGCAGGCGGGCUGAUAAGCUGGAUGUGAAAUCCUAUGGCUUAACCAUAGAACUGCAUCCAGAACUGUCAGUCUAGAGUCUGGGAGGGGAAGAUGGAAUUAGUUGUGUAGGGGUAAAAUCCGUAGAGAUAACUAGGAAUACCAAAAGCGAAGGCGAUCUUCUGGAACAGUACUGACGCUGAGGCGCGAAAGCGUGGGGAGCAAACAGGAUUAGAUACCCUGGUAGUCCACGCCCUAAACGAUGAAUGUUAGUCGUUGGUGUCCUAGUGACAUCAGUGAUGCAGCUAACGCA
RNAcentral lists this ribosomal RNA (794 nucleotides) under uncultured bacterium. Its description in RNAcentral is "bacterial SSU rRNA". It matches the Rfam family "Bacterial small subunit ribosomal RNA", at positions 54 to 859 of the family's 1533-position model. The record is from RNAcentral.